GUUCAAGUCCUUCCCCUGCUA
Molecule: transfer RNA, 21 nt
Filed under: Zosterops pallidus (pale white-eye)
Lineage: Eukaryota; Metazoa; Chordata; Aves; Passeriformes; Zosteropidae
Description: partial tRNA-Met
Source: RNAcentral